GCCUCGUCUGAGAUGUGCGGAAAGCUCGCAUCAGUUUAAAGAUACAUGAAUUCUGCUCUGUCAUAACCGUACGAUGCCAGAAGACCUGCUGCUGCUUCGAGUGACUGCUUGUCUGAUGGGGCUCAGUUCUGAAGUCCAAAAUGAGAUUCCUCUGCUUAAGGACUGGCUAUUCAGAGAUGCACUUGGAGUCCUGCAACUGCUCCUGAAAUCAGUGGGAACUGACUUCAAGCACCACUGAAACAUGCUGCUGGCUCUCCCAGAUGACUUUUUUUUAAUUGAAGACGCUUGGAUGUUACAAGGUGCUUCUAACAAGAAGAAUGCAGUGCGUGUUGUACACCGAAGUCAUACUAUUUUCUCUGCAACAAGUACAGAAGCAGCUGUAUUUGCAUUACUCACUUGCAGGGCGUGAAUCAUCUAUCCGUUGUGAAAACCUCCCGAGGUCGCCUCUUCCCCCUCCUCACUCCUGGUGCUUGUGUUACUGUGUACAAGCAGGGCUUACUGUAGCAGGAUAUUAACAAAGACCUCACUCCGUGCAUUGACUUGUUACAACCUUCUCUGAAAACCGGACGGACUUCCCCGAUGGGGCAGGGGAACCCUUCCCUACUGCUCCAGUCUCUGGGAGCCGGAUGAGACAAAGGAGGUGGUUCCGGGACUCCAAUAUCUCACACAACUCAACUACACUUGAUUAUUAUUUGCUUCUCACAACCUGAAAAGAAACCUACUACCAGAUUUGUCUGUCUCAACCCCGCUGAAGCUGAAUACUUUCAUACAUAUGUAUGGAUAGCUUAAGUUUUUAUGAGCAUAAUUUGGGCUUUUCAAAAUAGUGACACAAUAACAAAGCAAAAUUGAGACACGCAUGUAAUUUGAAUACUGAUUUGGUUUUAUCUCUUCCUGGUGCUGGCACUUUUGAUGCUGCUCUUUUCCAUUCCAUCUCCUUUCUGUUCUUAUUUCCCAAUGAAUGGAAUUAGCCGUGAGUGCACUUGCUGCUUCUGCCAACCAAAUACGGAACCUGAGGAAAUGUGUAUCUGUGACCUCCCAAAGAGUUUUGGACAGUUACUCAUUUGCUGUUAACUCCGGGUUCUCUAUUAGCUGCUUAAAGGUGUGUUCCCGAUCCCCUUCUCCAUUAGGAAAAUGAGCACUGGCAGACGGCUCUCACGGUGCUUCUUGGCAUUUUGAGCAACAUCAGCCCUGAUUUUUAUUUGCAGCCAUGUAGCAUUGCAAGGAGGUUAUUGCGAAGGAUGCCUCUGCCUGCGUUGCAGGGCAGAUGCCUGCAGUGAGCUGUAUGCAGCAGCUGGCAGACUCAGGGCAGUGUUCACCUGAGGGUGAACAGAAGGCGCUUCACCAACCAUUGACUGGUUCACAACGUCCAAGUCCAUGUCUGCCUCUGAUGCUGGGUUUUGCUGUUAUUAAAGGGUCCUCUACAGUAGGGAAUUAGGUCUAACGAAGCUCUGCUGUAUCUCCUCACACUUUCUUGACGUGUUGGAGUAACAGGCAAAACCCCAGACCCACCUCGUCUACAUGAAAGCCCAGAGGCGCCUCGUAUGCAGCUGCAGCCAGAUUGGAACAGUUUAAUGCUGUGGAGAAUUUGGUCCUAGAAAUUAUUCACAGAAAGUACUCAGUGAAUAAUUUCAAAGAGAAAAUUAAAAAGUGCUCAAGGGCAAUCUAUGAAGAACAGAAAAAGGGGGUUAAAUUCACCUAAUAAAUUAUUUGCAGAUUGAAUAAUUCA
Numida meleagris (helmeted guineafowl) is the source of this 1726-nucleotide long non-coding RNA. The record is from Ensembl. Lineage: Eukaryota; Metazoa; Chordata; Aves; Galliformes; Numididae.